AAAAAAACGUUCCUAAAUGAAUAUGAAAACUUUGCUAUGUGUAGACUAAUUAUGAAUUUAUAUUUUUUUAAAAAUUGUUCAAGCAUUUUCAUUCAUAUUCCUAGGGUUCAUUUUUGUGUUCUCAAUUGAAAAACAAUUCUUUCAUGUUAACGUCUUGAUUAGUUGAGAUAUAGAGAAACUGAGUAACCUGUUUAUGCAUACAGUUUGUAUUAAUUUUUAAUAAAAGAUGAAAAAUAAAGAGAAAAUGAGGGGGAGAAGG
RNAcentral lists this unclassified non-coding RNA (259 nucleotides) under Hevea brasiliensis (rubber tree). Lineage: Eukaryota; Viridiplantae; Streptophyta; Magnoliopsida; Malpighiales; Euphorbiaceae. The record is from RNAcentral.